Molecule: transfer RNA, 51 nt
Filed under: Apodolirion lanceolatum
Lineage: Eukaryota; Viridiplantae; Streptophyta; Magnoliopsida; Asparagales; Amaryllidaceae
Description: tRNA-Leu
Source: RNAcentral
AAUUUCCGUCUACUCUAACCACUUUAGGGUUCGUCGUCUCUCCUUCCCCCC